Molecule: ribosomal RNA, 496 nt
Filed under: uncultured bacterium
Lineage: Bacteria
Description: partial 16S ribosomal RNA
Rfam family: Bacterial small subunit ribosomal RNA
Source: RNAcentral
GAUGAACGCUGGCGGCGUGCCUAAUACAUGCAAGUCGAGCGAACAGACGAGGAGCUUGCUCCUCUGACGUUAGCGGCGGACGGGUGAGUAACACGUGGAUAACCUACCUAUAAGACUGGGAUAACUUCGGGAAACCGGAGCUAAUACCGGAUAACAUGUUGAACCGCAUGGUUCAACAGUGAAAGACGGUUUUGCUGUCACUUAUAGAUGGAUCCGCGUCGCAUUAGCUAGUUGGUAAGGUAACGGCUUACCAAGGCAACGAUGCGUAGCCGACCUGAGAGGGUGAUCGGCCACACUGGAACUGAGACACGGUCCAGACGCCUACGGGAGGCAGCAGUAGGGAAUCUUCCGCAAUGGGCGAAAGCCUGACGGAGCAACGCCGCGUGAGUGAAGAAGGUCUUCGGAUCGUAAAACUCUGUUAUUAGGGAAGAACAAAUGUGUAAGUAACUAUGCACGUCUUGACGGUACCUAAUCAGAAAGCCACGGCUAACUACGU